AGUGGCAAACGGCUGAGUAACGCGUAAGGGACCUGACCCUGGGAGAGGGAUAACCCACUGAAAGGUGGGCUAAUACCCCGUACGCUGGUUGGCUGCAUGGCUGGCCAGGAAAGCUGCGGCGCAAGUCGUGGCGCCCGGGGAGGGCCUUGCAUCCUAUCAGGUAGUUGGCGGGGUAACGGCCCACCAAGCCAAAGACGGGUAACCGGUGUGAGAGCAUGGACGGUCAGAGGGGGACUGAGACACGGCCCCCACUCCUACGGGAGGCAGCAGCAGGGAAUUUUGCGCAAUGGGCGAAAGCCUGACGCAGCGACGCCGCGUGGGGGAAGAAGGCCCUCGGGUUGUAAACCCCUUUUCUGGGGGAAGAGCAAGGACGGUACCCCAGGAAUGAGCCCCGGCUAACUACGUGCCAGCAGCCGCGGUAAUACGUAGGGGGCGAGCGUUGUCCGGAAUUACUGGGCGUAAAGGGCGCGUAGGCGGCCCAAGAAGUCUCCGGUGAAAUCUCCCGGCUUAACUGGGAGCGGUCCGGGGAAACUCUUGGGCUUGAGGACAGCAGAGGAGGGUGGAAUUCCCGGUGUAGUGGUGAAAUGCGUAGAUAUCGGGAGGAACACCAGUGGCGAAGGCGGCCCUCUGGGCUGUACCUGACGCUGAGGCGCGAAAGCGUGGGGAGCGAACCGGAUUAGAUACCCGGGUAGUCCACGCCCUAAACUAUGGAUGCUGGGUAUGAGGGGUAUCGAACCCCCUCGUGCCGAAGCUAACGCGUUAAGCAUCCCGCCUGGGGAGUACGGCCGCAAGGCUAAAACUCAAAGGAAUUGACGUGGGCCCGCACAAGCAGCGGAGCGUGUGGUU
Molecule: ribosomal RNA, 846 nt
Filed under: uncultured bacterium
Lineage: Bacteria
Description: bacterial SSU rRNA
Rfam family: Bacterial small subunit ribosomal RNA
Source: RNAcentral